Bemisia tabaci is the source of this 675-nucleotide non-coding RNA. NCBI's taxonomy places the organism in Eukaryota, Metazoa, Arthropoda, Insecta, Hemiptera, Aleyrodidae. The record is from RefSeq and is a predicted model, not a curated record.
AGAGUUCAAUGAUGUGCUUCCCCUCAAAAUCGGGCUGUCUCGUUGUUGUUUAUGCCUUCGUAUGUCUUCUGUUAAUUUCUUAACUAUAUAAAGCCCAUCACUCCCAGUGCACUAUCAUAUUGCUUCUGACUUUGUACGCUUCUAACAAGCUUAUUCCUACUCAAACCACUCCAAACCCCAAACUCCAAAAUGUACGGACAAGAGAAGAACGUCAUUGACAUCGUCGCCCUCAACGGCAAAGAGCGCAACGCCAUGGACAUCGUCGCCUUAAACGGCAAAGAACGCAACACGGUUGACAUCGUUGCCCUCAACGGAAAGGAACGUAACGUUGUCGACAUCGUCUCCCUCAACGGAAAGGAACGCGUCGUCUUCGACGUCAUCGCCCUUAACGGAAAGGAAAGAACUUCCUUCGACAUCAUCUCCCUGUAAAUGUCUACCCCCUUGUUCUCUCUCCAGCCUUAAGUCGGCAUCUAUCACAUGGCUUCCCCUCAACAACAUCCGAGGCUGGACUCCACCGCAUCAACACUCCCCACUCUCUCGCUCCCUUUCUCUCUCUCUUUCUCGCACUUACACAUCCACUCGCACGGCAAUAAGUUUAACUUGUUAAUAUUUAAUCAUAAUAUGUGUAUAUCAUAAUCAAUAGCUCAUAAGAAAUAAAUUUGGUUAAGAAAAAAA